AGAGCGAACGCUGGCGGCAGGCUUAACACAUGCAAGUCGAGCGCCCCGCAAGGGGAGCGGCAGACGGGUGAGUAACACGUGGGAACGUACCCUUUGGUUCGGAACAACCCAGGGAAACUUGGGCUAAUACCGGAUACGUCCGUAAGGAGAAAGAUUUAUCGCCAAGGGAUCGGCCCGCGUCUGAUUAGCUAGUUGGUGGGGUAAUGGCCCACCAAGGCUACGAUCAGUAGCUGGUCUGAGAGGAUGAUCAGCCACAUUGGGACUGAGACACGGCCCAAACUCCUACGGGAGGCAGCAGUGGGGAAUAUUGGACAAUGGGGGCAACCCUGAUCCAGCCAUGCCGCGUGAGUGAUGAAGGCCUUAGGGUUGUAAAGCUCUUUUAGCAGGAAGAUAAUGACGGUACCUGCAGAAAAAGCCCGGCUAACUCGUGCUAGCAGCCGC
RNAcentral lists this ribosomal RNA (441 nucleotides) under uncultured soil bacterium. RNAcentral describes it as "bacterial SSU rRNA". It matches the Rfam family "Bacterial small subunit ribosomal RNA", at positions 26 to 518 of the family's 1533-position model. The record is from RNAcentral.